AAACUUUCAGUGUCAGGGGUAUUCUCGGUGAAAUCUAUGUAUAUAGAUUUGAUAAAGACUGGUCAAAUCCCAAAGUUGCUUCACAUUUGAAAAAUUAAGGUACCUUUAAAGGUAAAAGUCCUUAUGUGUUUUGUUAACAAGGAAGUGAUCUUGAUUAAGGAUAACUUGGUAAAGCAUAGUUGGGACGGUAGAAAACAGUGUUGUUUCUAUGAUCAAGAUUAAUCCAUCCAACAUCUUUUUCUCAAAUGCCCACUAGCCAAAUUACCAUGGCUCACGUUACAUUUGGCCUUUACUGUCAGCCCCCCUAAUGGCAUUGCCACUUUAUUUAGCUUUUUAUUUUUCUUUUUCUUUGGUUUACAUGUGGCCUUUACUGUGCUUUUCAUUUUCGUUUUCUUUGGUUUAUUUUAUUUAUUUGGUUUUUUUCUUUUGUUUUUCUUUGUUUCUUUUUGUUUUCAUUCUAUAUUUUUGGUAUAUGUCAACACCAUUUUUAAUACACAUUUAACAUUUUUAAAUACAAAUUUAACAUUUUUAAUACAUGAUCAACAUUUUUCUAUACACAUUUUAAACAUUUUUCAAAUGCUUGAUUAA
Molecule: ribosomal RNA, 588 nt
Filed under: Triticum aestivum (bread wheat)
Lineage: Eukaryota; Viridiplantae; Streptophyta; Magnoliopsida; Poales; Poaceae
Description: partial small subunit ribosomal RNA
Source: RNAcentral